Molecule: ribosomal RNA, 497 nt
Filed under: uncultured archaeon
Lineage: Archaea
Description: partial 16S ribosomal RNA
Rfam family: Archaeal small subunit ribosomal RNA (bases 57-497)
Source: RNAcentral
AGAGCAGGGGGGGCGCCAGCCGGGUGUAUCACGGUCGUGCUAAAGUGGUGGCCGCAAGUCUAGUUCAUAAGGUUAAAUAGUAGGCUGGUGAUAAGUCUGUGGAGUUAUAACUCAUAAAGUGUCAGGGGUUCAGAAGCUAGUGUCUGGUUCGAGGCCGGGGGGGGUGGGGGGAGGUUCAGGGGUAGGGGUGGAAUCAAGUUAUCCUUGAAGGACCACCAGUGGCGAAGGCGUCUCACCAGAACAGACCUGACGGCAAGGGACGAAAGCUAGGGGCACGAACCGGAUUAGAUACCCGGGUAGUCCUAGCCGUAAACGAUACUCGCUAGGUGUCGGCCACGGUGCGACCGUUGUCGGUGCCGUAGGGAAGCCGUGAAGCGAGCCACCUGGGAAGUACGGCCGCAAGGCUGAAACUUAAAGGAAUUGGCGGGGGAGCACCACAACGGGUGGAGCUUGCGGUUUAAUUGGAUUCAACGCCGGAAAUCUUACCGGGACCGACA